GUUCAAGAGUACGUGAAACCGUUCAGGGGUAAACCUGAGAAACCCAAAAGAUCGAAUGGGGAGAUUCAUCGUCAGCAUUUUCUGUAUAUAUGCGAGUUGUGAUGCGAGUUACUCUUGUAGUAUUGCUUGCACAUUCUUGUAUAUUUGCAUGCAGGAUUUGUCGGCGUGCACUUCUCCCCUAGUAGGACGUCGCAACCCAUUGAGUGUUGGUCUAUGGCCUGAGUGGGAGUCUUUAAAGUUUUGUACUUUGAAAACCCUCGGUGUUUCCUGACCAACUGCUCGGUGGUAUUCCAAGGUAUUAAGCCGCAUUUAUGCGUCCAUGCCCGUCGCAAGCGCGGUCAAUUUCUGGUAGUGCGGACCUAGUGCCGUCGCUGGAAUUGAUCAGCUGUUGGUUGUACGGUGUUCUGGGACUGGCUAAUAUUACCUGUUAGCAAUGCUACUGCUUUGGGGACUUUCUGGACCCGCCUUGAAACACGGACCAAGGAGGCUAACAUGUUCGCCAGUCAUUGGGAUUUUUUCUAAUGAAACCUAAAAGCGGAAUGAAGAUAAAGGUUGACCUUGCUUUGACUUAUGGAGGAUGAUUUAUUUUAA
This 591-nucleotide ribosomal RNA is filed under the name Caenophanes aff. costaricaensis 1 AZR-2017. Its description in RNAcentral is "eukaryotic LSU rRNA". It matches the Rfam family "Eukaryotic large subunit ribosomal RNA", at positions 387 to 755 of the family's 3401-position model. Lineage: Eukaryota; Metazoa; Arthropoda; Insecta; Hymenoptera; Braconidae. The record is from RNAcentral.